Molecule: ribosomal RNA, 616 nt
Filed under: Salmonella enterica subsp. enterica serovar Infantis
Lineage: Bacteria; Pseudomonadati; Pseudomonadota; Gammaproteobacteria; Enterobacterales; Enterobacteriaceae
Also listed under: 2 other names
Description: partial 23S ribosomal RNA
Rfam family: Bacterial large subunit ribosomal RNA
Source: RNAcentral
UGGUGGGUAGUUUGACUGGGGCGGUCUCCUCCUAAAGAGUAACGGAGGAGCACGAAGGUUGGCUAAUCCUGGUCGGACAUCAGGAGGUUAGUGCAAUGGCAUAAGCCAGCUUGACUGCGAGCGUGACGGCGCGAGCAGGUGCGAAAGCAGGUCAUAGUGAUCCGGUGGUUCUGAAUGGAAGGGCCAUCGCUCAACGGAUAAAAGGUACUCCGGGGAUAACAGGCUGAUACCGCCCAAGAGUUCAUAUCGACGGCGGUGUUUGGCACCUCGAUGUCGGCUCAUCACAUCCUGGGGCUGAAGUAGGUCCCAAGGGUAUGGCUGUUCGCCAUUUAAAGUGGUACGCGAGCUGGGUUUAGAACGUCGUGAGACAGUUCGGUCCCUAUCUGCCGUGGGCGCUGGAGAACUGAGGGGGGCUGCUCCUAGUACGAGAGGACCGGAGUGGACGCAUCACUGGUGUUCGGGUUGUCAUGCCAAUGGCACUGCCCGGUAGCUAAAUGCGGAAGAGAUAAGUGCUGAAAGCAUCUAAGCACGAAACUUGCCCCGAGAUGAGUUCUCCCUGAGACUUAGAGUCUCCUGAAGGAACGUUGAAGACGACGACGUUGAUAGGCCGGGUGUG